This 484-nucleotide ribosomal RNA is filed under the name uncultured bacterium. RNAcentral's name for it is "partial 16S ribosomal RNA". It matches the Rfam family "Bacterial small subunit ribosomal RNA", at positions 30 to 507 of the family's 1533-position model. The record is from RNAcentral.
AUUGAACGCUGGCGGCAGGCCUAACACAUGCAAGUCGAGCGGAUGAAGGGAGCUUGCUCCUGGAUUCAGCGGCGGACGGGUGAGUAAUGCCUAGGAAUCUGCCUGGUAGUGGGGGAUAACGUCCGGAAACGGGCGCUAAUACCGCAUACGUCCUGAGGGAGCAAGUGGGGGAGCUUCGGACCUCUCGCUAUCAGAUGAGCCUAGGUCGGAUUAGCUAGUUGGUGGGGUAAAGGCCUACCAAGGCGACGAUCCGUAACUGGUCUGAGAGGAUGAUCAGUCACACUGGAACUGAGACACGGUCCAGACUCCUACGGGAGGCAGCAGUGGGGAAUAUUGGACAAGGGGCGAAAGCCGGAUCCAGCCAUGCCGCGUGUGUGAAGAAGGUCUUCGGAUUGUAAAGCACUUUAGGUUGGGAGGAAGGGCAGUAAGUUAAUACCUGGCUGUUAUGACGUUACCAACAGAAUAAGCACCGGCUAACUUCGUG